Molecule: unclassified non-coding RNA, 318 nt
Filed under: uncultured Hypocreales
Lineage: Eukaryota; Fungi; Ascomycota; Sordariomycetes; Hypocreales
Description: sequence contains ITS1
Rfam family: 5.8S ribosomal RNA (bases 1-105)
Source: RNAcentral
GAAAUGCGAAAAGUAAUGUGAAUUGCAGAAUUCAGUGAAUCAUCGAAUCUUUGAACGCACAUUGCGCCCGCUGGAACUCCGGCGGGCAUGCCUGUCCGAGCGUCAUUUCAACCCUCAGGCCCCCCUUUCGGGGGCGGGCCUGGUGUUGGGGACCGGCCGCCUCCUCUGGCGGCCGACCCCUAAAUUCAGUGGCGGCCGCGCCGCGAUCCCUUGCGUAGUAAUCUAACCUCGCACCGGAGAGCGACGCGGUCCACGCCGUGAAACCCCCAAAUUUCAAUGGUUGACCUCGGAUCAGGUAGGAAUACCCGCUGAACUUAA